UACCCCAAGAUCAGAUUAAGGCCUAGAGCAACCAGUAAGCUCGAGCUCUCUCGGCUUGAGAGAGAGAAACCCGACGACCCGCAAGGCAGCCCGGCGACAACUCCGGUGUCCGGCCACCGAUCGACGAUGCAAGGCCACCAAUCUCUUCCUCUCAUCGUCGCCGUCACGCUUGUGGCCUCAGAUCGUCCAUGCACCCGACGAGGAUGAAGAAUCGACGUUGAGAAUGUCCAACUGCUCCGGCGAGUCUCUGCAAAAUCCGGUGACUCCGGCCACCUUCUGAGCCGCAAGUGGUAUGAAAAUCGACCCCCUCGUCAUGCUUUACACGUUUGUAUACUUAGUUUUGGAAUUGGAUUAUGUUUUGACAAUUUCGUAUCGGGGUUCCUCUCGGUUCCGACGCUGUCACCGACGUCGGUGACUCCUCCGGCACCUCUCGCCUUGGCUUCCGUCUA
This 449-nucleotide long non-coding RNA is filed under the name Rosa chinensis. RNAcentral describes it as "sRNA RchiOBHm_Chr1g0330761". Lineage: Eukaryota; Viridiplantae; Streptophyta; Magnoliopsida; Rosales; Rosaceae. The record is from RNAcentral.